AGGUGACGGGGGCAACCCCGCGUGGUCACACGAAUGACUUGAGCUCACUCUUCCUCCACUGCAUGCCUUACAGGAGGCAGUGCAGAAGGCCGUGGUCUGGCGCGGGUUUUCACAGGAUCCUCUUGGAUGCUGGAGGAGGGUGCAUGGAAGGGUCCGGGCAGGGAGGCCAGUGAGCAGCAGCUGCAGUCAGCUUUGCAAAGCAUGAUGGGACUUGGACCACGGUCAGGUGGACCCAUGAGUUGGGGUCCUUCAGAGAAGGAGACCAAUAGUGAGGAGUUGGCUCACAUGAGGACAGAGGCUGAGAAGUCCUGCCAGCUACCGCCUGCAAGCCGGAGCCCCGGGAAAGCUGGUGGUGUGGCUCCAGUGCAAGCCUGAGGGCCCAACACCCAGGGAGCUGAUGGUGGGGACUGAGUCCCAGGGCAGGGGAAGACCAGUGUCCCAGCCGGGGAGCUGAUGGUGGGGACCCAGUCCCAGGGCACGAGAAGGCCAGUGUCCCAGCCCAAGCAGGCAGGCGGGAGGAAAGAGGCAAGUUCCUCCUUCCUCUGCCUUUUUGUUCUCUUCAGCCCUUCAAGGGGUUGCAUGAUCCCAUGCACACAGGGAGGCAUUUGCUCGCCACAGUCCACCACUGGAAAUGCCGGUCUCAGCCAGAGACACCUCACAGACUCCCCCAGAAACAGCGUGUCCCCAGCUAUUGGGCAUCCCGAGCUGGCCAGGUGGACACACAGACCUCACCUGUGCAGUCAUGCUCGUUGGUCCUGGACAGCCUUGGUGGGGACGUUUCCAGAAGUGGCGCCUGCUCUGUGCCCCCCACAUCAGCCCCAGGGUCUCCUGGUAUCCUAAACCUGCAUCCCUGCUCCUGGCCUGGCUGCUGGGAAUGCAGCCAAUGUCGGUUCCUCAGAAUCAAGAUAAAAAUGAAGGGAACCCUCUGCCUCUGCCAGGCAGGCCUCGGGCCAGGCUGGGGACCCUGGGUGGGGUCGAGGCUGGGGACCCUGGGUGGGGUCGAAUGCCUCCCCAGCUCAGGCCUUGGGUCUUUGGGGAACGUGGUGACUGAGUUCACAUAUGCACGAGCGACGUUUCCAACUGUCUAGAAACUUCAGACAGAGUGUGAGAUUCUGCCUGCAUGUCACAGGGAAGGAGGCUGGAGAUGGAGGAGAUUCUGGAGGUGCCAAGCCCCAGGGCUCCCAAGAGCUGAGUGGGUCCAGCCUCUGCCUCCACUCUCUACCCAGACUGCACUUUCUUCUGGUACCUUCCAGGGUGCACACAGGCUCAUUCUUGUAUGCAGAGCUCCCUCUUUAAUUCCCAAAAAGAUCACACCAAGGAGAGUUUCAAAUUAGGGCAUCAGAGCCAAAUUGAAGAUUGGAGGAGCUGAGUCCGGAAGAAGGGCCAAGACUGCGGAGUGAGGAGCUGGUUGCUGGUUCCCAGGUCCCUGGCCAGCUCACCGUCUCCAGCAAGAAAGGGACAAGCGAAGCCACAUGAGGAGAAGGGUCUGGCCUAUCUUUGAAGAGUGAUCACCUUCCCACGAGAUUGGAAUACUGGGAAGGAAAGUCCGAGCGCCCUGGAAAAGUCUAAAGGGUGUUCCCAAAGGUAGAAGAAGGUGUCCAGGCAGUGUGUCCUGCCACGGCCAGCAGCUCCCAGCAUGUGCUCUAGCCGUCCUGGCCUGGCGGGUCAGAGCCGUGGUCAGUGGCAGCUACUGAACCAGUGCCCGUGGGCAUCAUCUGCCUGUUCUCUCUUGGGUCUAACCAGCAUUUCUCGUGACUAUUCUGAAAAGACUCCAAUCGCUUCCUCCACCACCUCUUCCGAGCUGGGGGUGGUGCAGGGGGUUGGGGAAAAAUCAAUUCAUCAAACAAGCAAAAUGUAUUCAGCGCCUGCUUGCUGUAGACCAGGCACUGGGCAGGGCUUGUGAAACGGAAUGGAAGCCCUCUGGACCCUGGAAACCUUAUGGGAGAGAGUUAAAAUAAAUCAGACCGGCAGAGGUAAGGCACUUUACCUUCCGAAAGGUGCGCCAUUGAACACCAAGAGGAAUCAGCCUGUCUUGUACGUGUAUAGUGAACCUGCCACGACGAGCCCUUCAGGAUAACCACUGGGUAGGAUGCACCAAGAAUCAGAGAAACUGGGUGCCCUUUGACCUGAAGAGGCUGGCAUUCUCUGGGGGAGACUGACAAGAUGGGAUCAAUAAAUAGACAGGCAGAUGGUCUGCCCUUGACUUUCAUGCGAAAGGAGAAGACACUGGCACAAAGAUCUCACUUCCGUGUCUGUCGCAGUAGUAUUUGAUUUAUAUACCCUCCACCUGUUUCUUUUUAUGGUCUUGGUAAUUGCAAAAUUAUUACUAGUUGUAAAUAUUUCAAACAAUGUGGUAGGAAAGGCAAAGUCCCUCUUCUAGUAGAGAAAAUGGAGGCCAGGUGCGGUGGCUCAUGCCUGUAAUCCCAGCACUUUGGGAGGCCGAGGAAGGAGGAUCACAAGGUCAAGAGAUUGAGACCAUCCUGGCCAACAUGGUGAAACUACAUCUCUACUAAAAAUACAAAAAUUAGCUGGGCGUGGUGGCGCAUCCCUGUAGUCCCAGCUACUCGGGAGGCUGAGGUAGGAGAAUCACUUGAACCUGGGAGGUGGAGGUUGCAGUGAGCCGAGGUCGUGCCAUUGCACUCCAGCCUGGGCGACAAGAGUGAAACUCCAUCUCAAAAAAAAAGAAAAAGAAAAAGAAAA
This 2700-nucleotide non-coding RNA is filed under the name Pongo abelii (Sumatran orangutan). The record is from RNAcentral. Lineage: Eukaryota; Metazoa; Chordata; Mammalia; Primates; Hominidae.